RNAcentral lists this ribosomal RNA (249 nucleotides) under uncultured bacterium. Its description in RNAcentral is "partial 16S ribosomal RNA". It matches the Rfam family "Bacterial small subunit ribosomal RNA", at positions 116 to 355 of the family's 1533-position model. The record is from RNAcentral.
CGUGGGUAACCUGCCCAAGAGACUGGGAUAACACCUGGAAACAGAUGCUAAUACCGGAUAACAACACUAGACGCAUGUCUAGAGUUUAAAAGAUGGUUCUGCUAUCACUCUUGGAUGGACCUGCGGUGCAUUAGCUAGUUGGUAAGGUAACGGCUUACCAAGGCAAAUGAUGCAUAGCCGAGUUGAGAGACUGAUCGGCCACAUUGGGACUGAGACACGGUCCAAACUCCUACGGGAGGCAGCAGUUCC